GGCAGACGGGUGAGUAACGCGUGGGAACGUGCCCUUCGGUUCGGAAUAACUCAGGAAACUUGAGCUAAUACCGGAUACGUCCGCAAGGAGAAAGAUUUAUCGCCGAAGGAGCGGCCCGCGUCCGAUUAGCUAGUUGGUGAGGUAACGGCUCACCAAGGCGACGAUCUGGUAGCUGGUCUGAGAGGAUGACCAGCCACACUGGGACUGAGACACGGCCCAGACUCCUACGGGAGGCAGCAGUGGGGAAUAUUGGACAAUGGGCGCAAGCCUGAUCCAGCCAUGCCGCGUGGGUGAUGAAGGCCUUAGGGUUGUAAAGCCCUUUCGGCGGGGAAGAUAAUGACGGUACCCGCAGAAGAAGCCCCGGCUAACUUCGUGCCAGCAGCCGCGG
RNAcentral lists this ribosomal RNA (388 nucleotides) under uncultured bacterium. Its description in RNAcentral is "bacterial SSU rRNA". It matches the Rfam family "Bacterial small subunit ribosomal RNA", at positions 97 to 520 of the family's 1533-position model. The record is from RNAcentral.